RNAcentral lists this long non-coding RNA (621 nucleotides) under Brassica napus (rape). Its description in RNAcentral is "long non-coding RNA (BNAP_LNC026103)". The record is from RNAcentral. Lineage: Eukaryota; Viridiplantae; Streptophyta; Magnoliopsida; Brassicales; Brassicaceae.
GUUCAUAAUAUUAUUGCGUGUUGAUAUGGUUGAGUGCUGGUUCCCGUUAUCUUUAAAGAUCGUUUCAUAGCAGGAGGCUGACUAUCUGGGUAACGGUUUGAUUGAGUUGUUUAGUAUUGAUAUUAUUGUUUAGUUGUUGGUGUUAGUGGUCUUAGGCCAUAUAGGCCGGAUUACUGGUACUAUUGGCUUGUGUUAGCUUGUGUUGUAGAGUUGAGAGUCUAGUUAGGAUCUGGAACUUCAACUUUAGGUUAGGUUCUAGAUUGUGUUUGCGUUGUGUGAGUUGCCGACAGUAUGUGCGUAACCCGCCCAUACUAGGCUUUUUUAGGGGUGAUUAGUGUUUCCUCGGCUUCGUACCCAGCGGGUUCAAGGAAAUCCCUUAUUCUCUGGAUAGGGAAGACUCAGACGAAUGGGGUCAUCUCCUAUGGCUGAGUAUUACACGACGGUGUAAUGUGGCAGUGACCCGAAGGACUGUGGGCUGUCGCACGGUGACCCGAAGGACAGUGGGCCGCUGUCGGUUGAAAGUUCCUUCUUCUGGCCUUUGUGGUAGGAAGAUAGAAUAUUGCCGAUGGAGAGGAGGAACACGAAGUCACCAGGGCCCAGGUUAGAGUGCUGUGUUAGAAU